Molecule: ribosomal RNA, 837 nt
Filed under: Tylopus roseiparaterga
Lineage: Eukaryota; Metazoa; Arthropoda; Diplopoda; Polydesmida; Paradoxosomatidae
Description: SSU rRNA
Rfam family: Eukaryotic small subunit ribosomal RNA
Source: RNAcentral
UGCCCUAGUAAGGUGAAACCGCGAAUGGCUCAUUAAAUCAGUCAUGGUUCCUUAGAACAUACCAUCCUUCUUGGAUAACUGUGGUAAUUCUAGAGCUAAUACAUGCAACAGAGCUCCGACCCUUGUGGAACGAGCGCUUUUAUUAGACCAAAGACCAAUCGGAGCUUCGGCCCCGUCAGUCUGUGGUGACUCUGGAUAACUUUUAGCGGAUCGCACGGUCAUCGUGCCGGCGACUCCUCUUUCAAAUGUCUGCCUUAUCAACUUUCGAUGGUAGGUUAAUUGCCUACCAUGGUUGUAACGGGUGACGGGGAAUCAGGGUUCGAUUCCGGAGAGGGAGCCUGAGAAACGGCUACCACAUCCAAGGAAGGCAGCAGGCACGCAAAUUACCCACUCCCAGUACGGGGAGGUAGUGACGAAAAAUAACAAUGCGGGACUCUUACGAGGCCCCGUAAUUGGAAUGAGUCCACUUUAAAUCCUUUAACGAGGACCUAUUGGAGGGCAAGUCUGGUGCCAGCAGCCGCGGUAAUUCCAGCUCCAAUAGCGUAUACUAAAGUUGUUGCGGUUAAAAAGCUCGUAGUUGGAUGUCAGUCGCGGGCGGGCGGUCCACCGUUUUGGUGGUUUACUGCUCGUCCCGCGACCUACUGGCCGGCCUCCCCCGCUAUGCUCUUCACCGGGUGUGGCGGGUGGCCGGAAAGUUUACUUUGAAAAAAUUAGAGUGCUCUAAGCAGGUGCUUGCCGCCUGAAUAACACAGCAUGGAAUAAUGGAAUAGGACCUCGGUUCUAUUUUGUUGGUUUUCGGAAUUCCGAGGUAAUGAUUAAUAGGGACAGACGGGGGCA